RNAcentral lists this ribosomal RNA (487 nucleotides) under uncultured bacterium. RNAcentral's name for it is "bacterial SSU rRNA". It matches the Rfam family "Bacterial small subunit ribosomal RNA", at positions 30 to 507 of the family's 1533-position model. The record is from RNAcentral.
AUUGAACGCUGGCGGCAUGCUUUACACAUGCAAGUCGAACGGCAGCACGGGCUUCGGCCUGGUGGCGAGUGGCGAACGGGUGAGUAAUGCAUCGGAACGUGCCCAUGUUGUGGGGGAUAACUACGCGAAAGCGUGGCUAAUACCGCAUACGCCCUGAGGGGGAAAGCGGGGGAUUCUUCGGAACCUCGCGCAAUUGGAGCGGCCGAUGUCAGAUUAGCUUGUUGGUGAGGUAAAGGCUCACCAAGGCGACGAUCUGUAGCGGGUCUGAGAGGAUGAUCCGCCACACUGGGACUGAGACACGGCCCAGACUCCUACGGGAGGCAGCAGUGGGGAAUUUUGGACAAUGGGGGCAACCCUGAUCCAGCCAUGCCGCGUGAGUGAAGAAGGCCUUCGGGUUGUAAAGCUCUUUCAGCCGGGAAGAAAACGCACGCUCUAACAUAGCGUGUGGAUGACGGUACCGGACCAAGAAGCACCGGCUAACUACGUG